GCCCCAGUGGCCCAAUGGAUAAGGCAUCGGUCUCCUAAACCGGGGAUUGUGGGUUCGAAUCCCACCUGGGGUA
RNAcentral lists this transfer RNA (73 nucleotides) under Priapulus caudatus. RNAcentral's name for it is "tRNA-Arg". It matches the Rfam family "tRNA". From Rfam's summary of the family: Transfer RNA (tRNA) molecules are approximately 80 nucleotides in length. Lineage: Eukaryota; Metazoa; Priapulida; Priapulimorpha; Priapulimorphida; Priapulidae. The record is from RNAcentral.